Molecule: ribosomal RNA, 481 nt
Filed under: uncultured bacterium
Lineage: Bacteria
Description: bacterial SSU rRNA
Rfam family: Bacterial small subunit ribosomal RNA
Source: RNAcentral
CUACGUGCCAGCAGCCGCGGUAAUACGUAGGUCCCGAGCGUUAUCCGGAUUUAUUGGGCGUAAAGCGAGCGCAGGCGGUUAGAUAAGUCUGAAGUUAAAGGCUGUGGCUUAACCAUAGUACGCUUUGGAAACUGUUUAACUUGAGUGCAGAAGGGGAGAGUGGAAUUCCAUGUGUAGCGGUGAAAUGCGUAGAUAUAUGGAGGAACACCGGUGGCGAAAGCGGCUCUCUGGUCUGUAACUGACGCUGAGGCUCGAAAGCGUGGGGAGCAAACAGGAUUAGAUACCCUGGUAGUCCACGCCGUAAACGAUGUCGACUUGGAGGUUGUGCCCUUGAGGCGUGGCUUCCGGAGCUAACGCGUUAAGUCGACCGCCUGGGGAGUACGGCCGCAAGGUUAAAACUCAAAUGAAUUGACGGGGGCCCGCACAAGCGGUGGAGCAUGUGGUUUAAUUCGAUGCAACGCGAAGAACCUUACCUACUCUU